RNAcentral lists this transfer-messenger RNA (433 nucleotides) under Patescibacteria group. Its description in RNAcentral is "GWF sp018060845 Standard tmRNA". It matches the Rfam family "transfer-messenger RNA". Rfam says of the family: Bacterial tmRNA, also known as 10Sa RNA or SsrA, is named for its dual tRNA and mRNA-like properties. Its role is to liberate the mRNA from a stalled ribosome. To accomplish this part of the tmRNA is used as a reading frame that ends in a translation stop signal. The record is from RNAcentral. RNAcentral also lists the same sequence under 1 other name.
GGGGACGUCUUGCUUUGACGAGGCGACAGUUCUUUAACAUCUGCAUACCGACUUUGACGAGAGAAGUCGUAAAACAGCGUCAAAAAAUAUCUGUCACUAAAACUGCACAGACAGCAUAUAGUAAAUUUGUUUCUCUCUUAGAGAGUGCAGAUCGCGCUAUUGCUUCCUUGUUUGGUAACUACACCCUCGCGGGUAAUAGAGCUUAACCAGGACAUUUACACCCGAGUCGCUCAUGGCAAUGGUGUAGGUGGAAACAAACAUGAGCCAUAACCCCGCCCUAGUCAGGCGUGGCCAUAUAAACGACUACCCUCAAAACUAUCUUGGUCUGAUAAAUACCUAAUAGUUGAGAGGUUAAAAAAUAAAUUUAUCUAUGUAUGUAGAUGGUGUUAAAAACUCGCUCCGGACGAGGGCUCACUGCCCUCCGUCUCCACAC